Molecule: long non-coding RNA, 426 nt
Filed under: Homo sapiens (human)
Lineage: Eukaryota; Metazoa; Chordata; Mammalia; Primates; Hominidae
Description: non-protein coding LINC02015:31
Source: RNAcentral
GGAUUUUCAGUGUGUGUUUCAGAGUCUUAAAAGCUCAUGCUAGCUUGCUUAACAUACCUGCCAUAACUCAUGAUAUAGAACCCUAUGGAGAACUGUGUUGCAACAUGGAUGCAGUGCCUAUACUAAGGCACAUUGCCAAGCUGAAGACUGUCAGAGAGCAUCACUAACGGAGGACCUAGUUGUCUCACCUGUGGUGGUGGAAAGAGCACCAAGCUUGGAACCAGAGGGCCCAGGUUCGGGUCACUGUCAUCAUGUGAGCAUGGGCAGGGCCACUGUCAUAAGGACGCCUGGAAGAGUGAAGAAAGGCCUGAUUGAUCACAAGGUCCUAUCAAAUGUCAAAGCUGGCCCUGGCUGACCUCCCAUCUAUUCAGAGCUGCUUUGAUUUAAUCUCCAAACUGGCUGCUUCUCCAGGCUGUGAGUUCUAUC